Molecule: ribosomal RNA, 567 nt
Filed under: uncultured bacterium
Lineage: Bacteria
Description: partial 16S ribosomal RNA
Rfam family: Bacterial small subunit ribosomal RNA
Source: RNAcentral
UGGGGAAUUUUGGACAAUGGGCGAAAGCCUGAUCCAGCAAUGCCGCGUGUGUGAAGAAGGCCUUCGGGUUGUAAAGCACUUUUGUCCGGAAAGAAAUCCUUGGCUCUAAUACAGUCGGGGGAUGACGGUACCGGAAGAAUAAGCACCGGCUAACUACGUGCCAGCAGCCGCGGUAAUACGUAGGGUGCAAGCGUUAAUCGGAAUUACUGGGCGUAAAGCGUGCGCAGGCGGUCCGCUAAGACAGAUGUGAAAUCCCCGGGCUUAACCUGGGAACUGCAUUUGUGACUGGCGGGCUAGAGUAUGGCAGAGGGGGGUAGAAUUCCACGUGUAGCAGUGAAAUGCGUAGAGAUGUGGAGGAAUACCGAUGGCGGAGGCAGCCCCCUGGGCCAAUACUGACGCUCAUGCACGAAAGCGUGGGGAGCAAACAGGAUUAGAUACCCUGGUAGUCCACGCCCUAAACGAUGUCAACUAGUUGUCGGGUCUUCAUUGACUUGGUAACGUAGCUAACGCGUGAAGUUGACCGCCUGGGGAGUACGGUCGCAAGAUUAAAAACUUAAAUGAAUUGAC